GAUUAAGUUAUUAAGGGCGCACGGUGGAUGCCUUGGCACUAGAAGCCGAUGAAGGACGUUACUAACGACGAUAUGCUUUGGGGAGCUGUAAGUAAGCUUUGAUCCAGAGAUUUCCGAAUGGGGAAACCCAGCAUGAGUUAUGUCAUGUUAUCGAUAUGUGAAUACAUAGCAUAUCAGAAGGCACACCCGGAGAACUGAAACAUCUUAGUACCCGGAGGAAGAGAAAGAAAAUUCGAUUCCCUUAGUAGCGGCGAGCGAAACGGGAAGAGCCCAAACCAACAAGCUUGCUUGUUGGGGUUGUAGGACACUCUAUACGGAGUUACAAAGGACGACAUUAGACGAAUCAUCUGGAAAGAUGAAUCAAAGAAGGUAAUAAUCCUGUAGUCGAAAAUGUUGUCUCUCUUGAGUGGAUCCUGAGUACGACGGAGCACGUGAAAU
This 438-nucleotide ribosomal RNA is filed under the name Staphylococcus aureus. Its description in RNAcentral is "partial 23S ribosomal RNA". It matches the Rfam family "Bacterial large subunit ribosomal RNA", at positions 1 to 432 of the family's 2925-position model. The record is from RNAcentral. Lineage: Bacteria; Bacillati; Bacillota; Bacilli; Caryophanales; Staphylococcaceae.